Ixodes scapularis (black-legged tick) is the source of this 62-nucleotide non-coding RNA. Lineage: Eukaryota; Metazoa; Arthropoda; Arachnida; Ixodida; Ixodidae. The record is from Rfam.
GUUAGCUCAGUUGGUAGAGCGCUCCACUGGAAACGGAGAGGUUCCGGGUUCGAUUCCCGGAC